This 441-nucleotide ribosomal RNA is filed under the name uncultured bacterium. RNAcentral describes it as "partial 16S ribosomal RNA". It matches the Rfam family "Bacterial small subunit ribosomal RNA", at positions 338 to 795 of the family's 1533-position model. The record is from RNAcentral.
CCUACGGGAGGCAGCAGUGGGGAAUAUUGCACAAUGGGGGAAACCCUGAUGCAGCGACGCCGCGUGAGUGAAGAAGUAUUUCGGUAUGUAAAGCUCUAUCAGCAGGGAAGAAGCAAGACGGUACCUGACUAAGAAGCCCCGGCUAACUACGUGCCAGCAGCCGCGGUAAUACGUAGGGGGCGAGCGUUAUCCGGAUUUACUGGGUGUAAAGGGAGCGUAGGCGGUAUGGACAGGCUGAAGGGAAAGCCCAGGGCUUAACCCUGGGACUGCUGUGGAAACUGUUCGACUGGAGUGCUGGAGAGGUAAGUGGAAUUCCUGGUGUAGCGGUGAAAUGCGUAGAUAUUAGGAGGAACCCCAGUGGCGAAGGCGGCUUACUGGACAGUAACUGACGUUGAGGCUCGAAAGCGUGGGGAGCAAACAGGAUUAGAUACCCCAGUAGUC